UAACACGUGGGUAACCUGCCUGUAAGACUGGGAUAACUCCGGGAAACCGGGGCUAAUACCGGAUGCUUGAUUGAACCGCAUGGUUCAAUCAUAAAAGGCGGCUUCGGCUGCCGUUUACAGAUGGACCCGCGGCGCAUUAGCUAGUUGGUGAGGUAAUGGCUCACCAAGGCGACGAUGCGUAGCCGACCUGAGAGGGUGAUCGGCCACACUGGGACUGAGACACGGCCCAGACUCCUACGGGAGGCAGCAGUAGGGAAUCUUCCGCAAUGGACGAAAGUCUGACGGAGCAACGCCGCGUGAGUGAUGAAGGUUUUCGGAUCGUAAAGCUCUGUUGUUAGGGAAGAACAAGUACCGUUCGAAUAGGGCGGUACCUUGACGGUACCUAACCAGAAAGCCACGGCUAACUACGUGCCAGCAGCCGCGGUAAUACGUAGGUGGCAAGCGUUGUCCGGAAUUAUUGGGCGUAAAGCGCGCGCAGGCGGUUUCUUAAGUCUGAUGUGAAAGCCCCCGGCUCAACCGGGGAGGGUCAUUGGAAACUGGGGAACUUGAGUGCAGAAGAGGAGAGUGGAAUUCCACGUGUAGCGGUGAAAUGCGUAGAGAUGUGGAGGAACACCAGUGGCGAAGGCGACUCUCUGGUCUGUAACUGACGCUGAGGCGCGAAAGCGUGGGGAGCGAACAGGAUUAGAUACCCUGGUAGUCCACGCCGUAAACGAUGAGUGCUAAGUGUUAGAGGGUUUCCGCCCUUUAGUGCUGC
This 754-nucleotide ribosomal RNA is filed under the name Bacillus sp. SX2S4S19. RNAcentral describes it as "bacterial SSU rRNA". It matches the Rfam family "Bacterial small subunit ribosomal RNA", at positions 111 to 849 of the family's 1533-position model. Lineage: Bacteria; Bacillati; Bacillota; Bacilli; Caryophanales; Bacillaceae. The record is from RNAcentral.